Molecule: RNA transcript, 1286 nt
Organism: Triticum dicoccoides
Lineage: Eukaryota; Viridiplantae; Streptophyta; Magnoliopsida; Poales; Poaceae
Exons: 5
Source: RefSeq, a predicted model, not a curated record
CUCGCGUACGCCACCGCUCCGUGCGUACUCCCUCCAUCCAAAAAAACAUGUCCCUCAAAUGGAUAUAUCUAGCAUGAAGUUAGUGCUAGAUACAUCCAUUUGAACAAGCUUGGGACAAGCUUCCCUUUUAGGACGGAGGGAGUAUCUCACAGCCGCGCCCGAUCUCUCCGAUCCCCACGCGAUACUCACGCUUAUGCACCACCCCGGGACACCCUCGUUCUGCUCUUCCGAUUCCCUGCCUCGCCUCGCGGGACAGAGCUCGAUAUCGAGCGUAGCAACCCCGGUGAGCUCCGCCAUCCUAAGCAGCGCCGACGUGAAAUUCUCCCGCCUCGGACCGCACCAAAUCGACCUCCCCAGCAAAACAAAUCUCGCCGGAGCAUACCAUCACCGUUGCAUGUUCAUCCGCCCACCAUCGUCGCUACAGGAUGCACCGGAACUCCCCGAGGACACCAAAGGCCUCCCCAUGAACCUCCUAGUCUUCCAGCAUCUUCACCGAUCUCCUACGGCCAUCGGGAGCAACGCCGUCGCCGAUCAGGGCCAUCGCGUCUCCUCUAUUCCAAUUGCUCGGAGCGUGACGAGUAGAAUUAUCAGGAAUUGUGAGUACGACGAUCUUCAUCAAACUUACAGAUUUUAUACGACGAGUGAGUGAUAUGAUGUAGGGUUACCAUGUCCAUACUCGACAUUUUCCUGUGGUGUUGAUGGACUUCAUGGUGAUUUUAUUUGCAUUUUUGCUGCAUUUUGUGUGUAUGCUAGCUUGUGCUAUGCAGCUAUUGAUCUAGGGACUAGCACAGUGAGCACAAAGACAUCGAAUCUUAUCAGGUUCGGUCAUUACAUAACCCAGUCGGCCCAUUCUCCUCGUGUUCGGCCGACGAGCCUUCAUUCAUCAUCAAGAUGGACUCCAGAGGCCAUCCGCAGGAGGUGUGAUCAAGACAGCCUCUCUCGAAGACUUGAUGUAUAUUCCAAGAUCUCUAUCGCCGCCUAGCACUGUGAGCACAAAGACAUCGAAUCUUAUCAGGUUCGGGUUGUUACAGAUGGUAUUAGAGCCCAUGUUGACUGUAGGUCGUAGCCCUUAGAAUGGACUAGGAAAAGCCAUCGGAAAUUGUUUUAUCACUUCUUGAUCACUUACUAUCAUACUUGUAUUUCUCAUCUACCAUUCAUAUUCUAAACUUCUCACCUUGCCUUAAAGUAGUUGGCCAUCUUAUAGUAACCCCAUUUGGCCCUGUCACUGAGGAUGUAAUGCUUGGGAAGCAAUGCUAUAAUGAGGAGAGAAGGAAUUCAAGAAAGAA